GUAUGUUAUGAAAACUUCAUUUCAUAGAGUGAGGGUUGCCCGGUAUUGGUGACGUUGAAGCCUUGGUCUCAUGCAAUAGAACCUACGAACCGUGUCAGGUCGGGAACGAAGCAGCACUAAGUAGAACAUUCUAUGUGCCAUGAGGUGGCCUGGGUGGAGUCACCUUUACCGGGCAGCUCUUACAAUUUGCAUAA
RNAcentral lists this signal recognition particle RNA (194 nucleotides) under Anaerostipes sp. 992a. RNAcentral describes it as "Bacterial large signal recognition particle RNA". It matches the Rfam family "Bacterial large signal recognition particle RNA". From Rfam's summary of the family: The signal recognition particle (SRP) is a universally conserved ribonucleoprotein involved in the co-translational targeting of proteins to membranes. Archaeal SRP consists of a 7S RNA and homologues of the eukaryotic SRP19 and SRP54 proteins. In most bacteria, the SRP consists of a 4.5S RNA and the Ffh protein (a homologue of the eukaryotic SRP54 protein). Lineage: Bacteria; Bacillati; Bacillota; Clostridia; Lachnospirales; Lachnospiraceae. The record is from Rfam by way of RNAcentral. RNAcentral also lists the same sequence under 2 other names.